RNAcentral lists this ribosomal RNA (440 nucleotides) under uncultured bacterium. Its description in RNAcentral is "partial 16S ribosomal RNA". It matches the Rfam family "Bacterial small subunit ribosomal RNA", at positions 338 to 795 of the family's 1533-position model. The record is from RNAcentral.
CCUACGGGUGGCAGCAGUGGGGAAUAUUGCACAAUGGGGGAAACCCUGAUGCAGCGACGCCGCGUGAGUGAAGAAGUAAUUCGUUAUGUAAAGCUCUAUCAGCAGGGAAGAUCCAAGACGGUACCUGCAGAAGAAGCUCCGGCUAACUACGUGCCAGCAGCCGCGGUAAUACGUAGGGGGCGAGCGUUAUCCGGAUUCAUUGGGCGUAAAGCGCGCGUAGGCGGCCGCCUAAGCGGGACCUCUACCCCCGGGGCUCAACCCCGGGCCGGGUCCCGGACUGGGCGGCUCGAGUGCGGUAGAGGAGAGCGGAAUUCCCGGUGUAGCGGUGGAAUGCGCAGAUAUCGGGAAGAACACCGAUGGCGAAGGCAGCUCUCUGGGCCGUCACUGACGCUGAGGCGCGAAAGCUGGGGGAGCGAACAGGAUUAGAUACCCUUGUAGUC